Long non-coding RNA from Scylla paramamosain (green mud crab), 915 nucleotides. RefSeq lists it as uncharacterized. Lineage: Eukaryota; Metazoa; Arthropoda; Malacostraca; Decapoda; Portunidae. The record is from RefSeq and is a predicted model, not a curated record. The transcript is spliced from 2 exons.
AGUAAAUUACCAUCAUCACAGUAGUUUGUAGUUUAUUUUUUCAUCCAACACUCUCAGACUUCCCCACACGUCAUAUUGGCAAUUCUCUCCUUCCCCCACCAUUCUCUCUCUCUCUCUCUCUCUGCCGUCAACCACAACGUGCACACCUUCCCUCCUCUCCUCACCUCAGACUCUGUUGACUGAUAACUAACGUGCUUAAUUUCCCAUUGGUUUGUACCGGAACUCCGCCAGUCCCUACGCACCACAGAUGACAACUCUGCUAACGCCUGUCAGCCUCCAGUGAUCCCUCGUUACAAACUUUUCUGGACCCUGACCGGAGGAGGCAAUGAGUGUUGUUCUGUCUGCCUGCCUGGCCGUGAAUAGGCUAGUGAGUUGCCCGCUAGGUAUCCUUACAGACCUCAGACCUCGCCGUAUUGCUCGAAAUUAAACCAAGUACUGCUAGUUAAUUCAGACGGGUCGCAAUUACUAUGGAUUCGUGGAAGACCAAAGCUUUUCCGCUCGAAUCAAGGUCUUAACGAAGGCGAUGAAACACCUCCACCGAACCCAAGUGAAGGCGAGCAGACGGAGUGGCGGGCAGGAGUGGUGGGUCAGUGGCUUCUUACCUUGACCUCCGUGAACACAGUGGAGAGCCUGUGAGCUGCAAACACCACAACUUCACGGCGCCUUUGUCCCCCCUCGCCUGGCUGGUUGUCUUGCAUCUCUCCGACACUCCAAUUCGUGACUCAGCCUCCACUCGUCCGUGAAUCCCCGAUGCACCCUCACCACCACUACCUUUAUCAUCACCGCCCCUUCAAUAGAUUGGCUUCUGAGGGCAGCUCCAUUGUCCCUAACCCCUCUCUGUCCGGAUUACGUUGCGUCUAUUUUUGUUUGUAAUGAUUUAUUUCUAUGUGUUUGUUCUGUCAUUGUCUUCCUUCA